CUACGGAGGGGGCUAGUGUUGUUCGGAAUUACUGGGCGUAAAGCGUACGUAGGCGGACUGAUCAGUUGGGGGUGAAAUCCCAGGGCUUAACCCUGGAACUGCCUUCAAUACUGUCAGUCUUGAGUUUGGGAGAGGUGAGUGGAAUUCCUAGUGUAGAGGUGAAAUUCAUAGAUAUUAGGAGGAACACCAGUGGCGAAGGCAGCUCACUGGCCCAUUACUGACGCUGAGGUACGAAAGCGUGGGGAGCAAACAGGAUUAGAAACCCUUGUAGUCC
This 274-nucleotide ribosomal RNA is filed under the name uncultured bacterium. RNAcentral's name for it is "partial 16S ribosomal RNA". It matches the Rfam family "Bacterial small subunit ribosomal RNA", at positions 523 to 796 of the family's 1533-position model. The record is from RNAcentral.